This 467-nucleotide ribosomal RNA is filed under the name uncultured bacterium. Its description in RNAcentral is "partial 16S ribosomal RNA". It matches the Rfam family "Bacterial small subunit ribosomal RNA", at positions 28 to 507 of the family's 1533-position model. The record is from RNAcentral.
GACGAACGCUGGCGGCGUGCUUAACACAUGCAAGUCGAACGGAAAGGCCCUGCUUUUGUGGGGUGCUCGAGUGGCGAACGGGUGAGUAACACGUGAGUAACCUGCCCUUGACUUUGGGAUAACUUCAGGAAACUGGGGCUAAUACCGGAUAGGAGCUCCUGCUGCAUGGUGGGGGUUGGAAAGUUUCGGCGGUUGGGGAUGGACUCGCGGCUUAUCAGCUUGUUGGUGGGGUAGUGGCUUACCAAGGCUUUGACGGUAGCCGGCCUGAGAGGGUGACCGGCCACAUUGGGACUGAGAUACGGCCCAGACUCCUACGGGAGGCAGCAGUGGGGAAUAUUGCACAAUGGGCGGAAGCCUGAUGCAGCAACGCCGCGUGCGGGAUGACGGCCUUCGGGUUGUAAACCGCUUUCGCCUGUGGCGAAGCGUGAGUGACGGUAAUGGGUAAAGAAGCACCGGCUAACUACGUG